CUGAGAGGCAGGCAGAGAGAGGAGGAAGCAGGCUCCCCACUGAACAGAGAGCCCGAUGCGGGGCUCUAUCCCAGGACCCCGGGAUCAUGACCCGAGCCGAAGGCAGAGGCUUUAACCCACUGAGCCACCGGGCGCCCCUACAUAUUAUUUUAGUCCUUUUUCUUCUUACUUUAAAAGAAAUAAAACAGGUCCAUAGGUAAGGAGUCUAGUGGAGAGAGUGCCCAUCUGUGUGUUGAAAGCUAAGGACAAAGGCACUUCUAGAGGGAAAUUAUUCUGGGAUUAGCCAGGACUUUUGACUUCUGCAAUGUUCUUUGGUAGCUUGCUGUCAUGCCCACAGUGGUUUAUGUGUACUAGUCUCAUGGAAGCAACACACCAGCCCUCUGUGUUAAUUACAAUUAUUAUUUCUCAUUUUACAGAAGUAACCAAGGCAUACGGGGCUGAAAUUAAAGCUCAAGUCAUACAGUUACUAAAUGGGUUCCCCACUGACCAGAUCCAACCACAACAGCAGGUACUGGAGUCCAUGACUCAUUGCCUACCAGCCAGCCCCACCGCACACAGCAAGCUUGAGAGAGGACCUGAGAGGCAAUGGAAGAGACCCAUGACAUGUUCCCAGCCCCCAGCUGGAAAGGUAUCUGCCCUGUCCUAUCCAUCUGUGUAUCUUCCACACCUAGCACAGAGCCUGGCACCGAGGGAGGGCUCCAUAAAUGUUGAAUACGCAAAGAUCUCACUUAGUAAAGGUCUCAACUGCAAAUCGCACAGAGAAAAUAAAUUUCUUAAUCUAUUAUCAGCUGGUGCCGUGGGGUGGUUUGUGGCAAGAAAGAACAAGUUUCAGCAUGAGAAGCUGGAAGUUAAUGUCCCCUGAGGAACAUGUACUUCCCAGUUUUAUUUUUUUGGAGGGGGAUCAGGGUGUCAUCAGUCAACGAAACACACAGCAGCUUGCCCUAUAGAGAAGAACAAUUCCUACCAGAAGUUCACAAGAGUCUGCCAUUCCUUUCUCUUUUGCAGCAAAGCUAACGCGUAACAACCAAAAGUAACGACAACAUGAUUUCCUGCAAAUUAUAUAGGAGGCAUCAAACAGAAAAGUGUGUUGGAAAAUUAAAUUUAGCAGGUCAAGGCAGCAGCACAGAACUCCCAGCUGUUUGCAGCUCUGCUGUGUUGAUGGACUGACACAGGGCAGCCAUCAGACAUGGACAGGGUGACCGAGUAGCAGACCCCAGCCCCAUGUCCUGUCUGCUCUUGCCACUCCAUUUUCACAGCCAUCCCAGGUCACUUCCUCUUUCAACCUGUCGUACGCUGAGGAAAUGGGGGAAAUUGUUCCGGCAGCACUUUUUAUCACAUACUUAUUCUCUACCUGGAUGUUCAAAGCCUUUUGAUGAGAAUCUCACAUUCUGCCCUUAGUGACACACCAUAACCCCUUGUAAUUGGUUCUCAAUCCUGUACCUACAGCUCCUCUCACUGUCAAUUGUUAAAGAGGACCUUCUGCCUUCAUGUCUUCACUUCGUUGGGAAUUCUCACUUCUUCUCCUACCUCAUAGGCACUCAAGGAAGACUUCUCAUUAAUAAUCCACUUAGCUAUACCGUGUCUCCAUAGUAACUCUAUACCUGGCUCAAAGUUGAUGGCAGUUGUGUGCAGUGCCUAGGCUUCUCUCAGCCACUAAUCCUGCAGAUGGAUGAUUUUAUUCCAGCCCCGCAAAGCCUAGAGAGCUCUGCCCUCCAUCACAGGUCAGCAACGUUUCCCACUUGCUCCCUCGUUCCCCUUGGCCUCCAAACGCAGUGCAAACCGAGUUCCUCUGGGCACAGUGCGCAUCAACAGAGACCGCUCUUCAACUUCAGAAAUGUCCUUGGCACAAAGCGUACAAGCCUAUCAGCCACCGGAUGUCUCCCUCGUGUCCGUCUUGCAGGGCCAUGGAGGAGAUCUUGGUGGCCCUACACAGGAGGCCCGCCACAGCGUGGAUCUGUCUGUUCUGAAUCAUCCUGUGUUAGGGAGGGAGUAAACAGUCCUCCAUCGGUGCCCUGAAGCCAGAGCCAAAGACACAGGAAUUUAUGGAUUAAUUCCACGUUUCCUUCUCUGAGAUCCUUGCUGUUGCACAGCUCUAGGUAAAUGGUGCCCCCUGGGGCCGUCAGAUGUGGUGGGCCUGGUGCGGAACAUUGUCUUGAGCCCUGCAGGUCCAGUGGCUGUGUUGUUCGUGUGAUGCAUUCUUUGGUCUUCCCCACCCUGCUCUGUGUCCCAGGAAGCACAUCUGUAUGGAUUGCAAUUCCUUUGCCUUCCAAAUUCCUUUUCUUUUCUCUCUUUCUUUUUUCUUUUUUUUUUUUAAGAUUUUAUUUAUUUGACAGCGAGAGCUCAAGCAGGGUGAGCAGCAGGCAGAGGGAGAUGGAGAGUGGGCUCUCCACUGAGCAGGGUGCCUGACGCUGUUCUCGAUUCCAGGACUCUGGGAUCCUGACCUGAGCUGAAGGCAGAAGCUUAAUUGACUGAACCACCCAGGCGCCCCGCCCCCACCCUCCAACUUCCUGUAGGAUAAUGGGGAGCACCGGCAGGAGACUGGAAGGGGGAAUGGAGAAGACUGGCCAGCAAAUUUGCUUCCCUGCCAGGUGGCUGCCAGUUUGCCACUAAGAGCCCCGGGGCCCCUGUCAGGCAGCCUGUCCAUUCAACGCCCUUCUCUGAGUUACGGAUGGCAAACACGGAUGGCCCCGGUGUGACUGGCCCCAGGCUAUUGUGCUCUCCUUGGUUCCCCUCAUCUUUCUAAGAGGUUCCCUC
RNAcentral lists this long non-coding RNA (2754 nucleotides) under Mustela putorius furo (domestic ferret). RNAcentral describes it as "lncRNA (ENSMPUG00000024567.1)". Lineage: Eukaryota; Metazoa; Chordata; Mammalia; Carnivora; Mustelidae. The record is from RNAcentral.